Molecule: ribosomal RNA, 2864 nt
Filed under: gut metagenome
Description: bacterial LSU rRNA
Rfam family: Bacterial large subunit ribosomal RNA
Source: RNAcentral
AGUGCAUAUAGUGAAUGCCUUGGCUGAGACUGUCGAUGAAGGACGUGGUAAGCUGCGAUAAGCGUCGGUGAGGUGCAAACAACCUUUGACCCGGCGAUUUCCGAAUGGGGUAACCCCGUAACAAGUAAUUGUUACGAUCCGAAAGGAAGGCAACCUAGGGAAGUGAAACAUCUCAGUACCUAGAGGAAAAGACAUCAACCGAGAUAUCGAAAGUAGUGGCGAGCGAAAUCGAUAUAGCCUAAACCAGUGUGCUUGCACACUGGGGUCAUAGGACUACAUUAGUAGAGUUAUCAAUCAAAAAAUUAGCUGAACGGUCUGGAAAGACCGACCAUAGAAGGUGAUAGUCCUGUAUGCGAAAAUUUUUUGACUCGAAGUAGUAUCCUGAGUACCAUCGAGCACGUGAAACUUGGUGGGAAGUUAGGGGGACCACCCUCUAAGGCUAAAUACAUGUCUCAGACCGAUAGUGAACCAGUACCGUGAGGGAAAGGCGAAAAGAACCGCGGGAGCGGAGUGAAAUAGAACCUGAAACUGUAUGCAUACAAGCAGUUCGAGGGUUAUGCCGGGAGCUUCGGCAACCGGAAAGCCUGAGAGCGUGCCUAUUGAAGAAUGAUCCGGCGAGUUAAUUGGUAGGUGCAAGGAUAAGUGUUAAGUGAAAGCUUGUCACGUAUCCGUAGCGAAAGCAAGUUUGAAAGGGCGUUAGUACCUAUCAUUAGACCCGAAGCCAAGUGAUCUAUGCCUGGACAGAGUGAAUUCCCUUUAACCGGGGAAGGAGGCUCGAAGCGUCGACCGUUGAAAAGGUCUUGCAUGAGCUGGGUAUAGGGGUGAAAGGCCAAUCUAACUUGGUGAUAGCUGGUUCUCCUCGAAAUAGUUUUUGGACUAGCCUAGUACGUUAAGUCUGAGAGGUAGAGCACUAAAUAAUCUAGGGGGUGUAACCCACUUUCCGAAGUUAAUUAAACUCCGAAUUCUCAGAUGUAUUAUACUGGAGUCAGUUUGUGAGGGAUAAGCUUCACAUGCAAAAGGGAAACAGCCCAGACCACCAACUAAGGUCCCUAAAUAUAUACUAAGUGGUACAAGGAAGUGGAAUUUCUUAGACAGCUAGGAGGUUGGCUUAGAAGCAGCCACCCUUUAAAGAGUGCGUAACAGCUCACUAGUCAAGUGAUUCUGCACCGAAGACACCCGGGGCUCAAGUAUAUUACCGAAGUUGUGGAUUUUAUAGCAAUAUAAAGUGGUAGAGGAGCGUUCCCACGACACUGAAGAUGUACCGAAAGGAGCAUUGGAGUUGUGGGAAGUGAGAAUGUCGGAAUGAGUAGCGAUAAAAGAGGUGAAAAUCCUCUUCGCCGAAAACCUAAGGUUUCCUUGAGUAAAGUUCGUCUGCUCAGGGUCAGUCGAUCCUAAGCCGAGGGCGAAAGCCGUAGGCGAUGGGUAUCAGGUUAAUAUUCCUGAACUACCUUUAGUGGGUUAAUGUGUUUAGCUACGCUUUCCAGUAGAUCAUCAUCUCAUUGGUUGUAGAUGUUGCCUCGCAAGAGGGAGGAUUUGGAGCAAUCCGAAGAACUGAUCGUAUGGAGAGCCAAGAAAAACCUAAGCACUGCUUCUGAAGGUAAACGUACCGUAAACGGACACACGUAGGUGGGGUGAAAAUCCUAAGGCGCGCGAGAUAACUUUCGUUUAGGAACUCGGCAUAUUGGCCCCGUAACUUCGGGAUAAGGGGUGCCUAUAGCAAUAUAGGUCGCAGUGAAAUGGCCCUCGUGACUGUUUAACAAAAACAUAGGUCUCUGCUGAAAUCACAAGAUGAUGUAUAGGGACUGACACCUGCCCGGUGCUGGAAGGUCAAGGGGAGAUGUUAGCGCAAGCGAAGCAUUGAACUUAAGCCCCAGUAAACGGCGGCCGUAACUAUAACGGUCCUAAGGUAGCGAAAUUCCUUGUCGGGUAAGUUCCGACCUGCACGAAUGGUGUAACAAAGAGGGCACUGUCUCAACGAAAGACUCGGCGAAAUUGUGGUACCCGUGAAGACGCGGGUUGCCUGCGGCUAGACGAAAAGACCCCGUGGAGCUUUACUGUAUCUUAGCCUUGAAUUAUGGAGUUUAAUGCGUAGAAUAGGUGGGACGCUUCGAAGCUUGGCUUUUGGGCUAGGUGGAGCGGAAAUGUGAAAUACCACCCUUUGAGUUCUGUGGUUCUAACUCUCAGGUUUGAAACAACCGAGAGGACAUGGUUAGGUGGGCAGUUUAACUGGGGCGGUUGCCUCCUAAAUAGUAACGGAGGCGUACAAAGGUAUCCUCAGGACCAAUAGAAAUGGUCCAAAGAGUGCAAGUGCAGAAGGGUGCUUAACUGCAAGACCUACAAGUCGAGCAGAUGCGAAAGCAGGUACUAGUGAUCCGGCGGUUCAGUGUGGAAUUGCCGUCGCUCAACGGAUAAAAGCUACCCCGGGGAUAACAGGCUGAUACCAUCCAAGAGUCCAUAUCGACGAUGGUGUUUGGCACCUCGAUGUCGGCUCAUCUCAUCCUGGGGCUGGAGCAGGUCCCAAGGGUUUGGCUGUUCGCCAAUUAAAGAGGUACGUGAGCUGGGUUCAGUACGUCGUGAGACAGUACGGUCUCUAUCUACCGUGGGCGCAGGAAAUUUGAGGGGGCUCGUUCUUAGUACGAGAGGACCGGAAUGAACAUACCUCUGGUGUUUCUGUUGUUCUGCCAAGAGCAUUGCAGAGUAGCCAAGUAUGGUUAAGAUAAACACUGAAAGCAUAUAAGUGUGAAACUUGCCCCAAGAUAAGAUUUCCCCGAAGACCACCCGUAGACUACGGGUUUGAUAGGCAAGAAGUGUAAGUACAGUAAUGUAUUCAGCUAACUUGUACUAAUCGGUCGUUUGGCUUGGUC